GGCAGGAGUGCCUGUGGCAAGGCGGGAGCACAGGCUACGCUCACAAAGCUAACGGGGCAGUCAAAGAAGUUGCUCUCCCAGCUGUUUCUUCUCUUCCACUGGAGAUUACAGAUUAUCUGCCCUUUGUCAGUGGGAUGAGGCUGGCCUCCGUUUGAAUUCGAAAUGUGGAAACCUCUCUGCUCACUUGUCAGACGAGCUCUAGUUUGGAUGUCGCAAAUGCAGUUUGAUAUCUCCAGCAGACUGUCUCCUCUCUCUUCUGAGCUGUCUGCUGGAGCGAGUAAAAAGAAUUUAGGUAAAAGAAUGAAAAAGGCUAAACUGCUUAACCAUGAAGCAGGGCUGGGCUGAUAUAGGAUGCUGCUGUCUGUUAUAUUUCUAGGCUGCAGCAUCAGACUGAGGGUGAAAUAAGCUACAGUUUGCUUCAACUCACGGGGCUCCAAAGGUUCUGAUUUAUAGCUGCAUUUUACCCAUACAAAAUUUUCUCACGUUUCCCAUAUUUCUCAUAUUUCUUUUCUCUAUGUUCUUGUAUUGUCGAACCCAAACAAAUAAUUAAGCAGCAGAACAACAGUUCUUUUUUCUACUUGGUUUCUUAUAUUUGAGGCCGUAGGCGCACUUUUGCUCAUGUUUUUCAGUUAUUUGCCCCAAAUGUGAAAGCUAGAGAUGUAUUUGUUUAGAAACAAGCCCCGCAAAAUAAAAGCUGAGUGGCUCACCUCA
RNAcentral lists this long non-coding RNA (711 nucleotides) under Apteryx owenii (little spotted kiwi). RNAcentral's name for it is "lncRNA (ENSAOWG00000017560.1)". The record is from RNAcentral. Lineage: Eukaryota; Metazoa; Chordata; Aves; Apterygiformes; Apterygidae.